Molecule: long non-coding RNA, 8586 nt
Filed under: Homo sapiens (human)
Lineage: Eukaryota; Metazoa; Chordata; Mammalia; Primates; Hominidae
Description: non-protein coding LINC00910:15
Source: RNAcentral
GUUGUGUUAGGAAGGAGGACGGGAAUGGUAAAUGCUGACGCUACAGGCGGCAGUCUGUGCCUCAGAGAGAAAAUUUAUCCCAACCUUGCUGGGGGCCUUGACGCCCAUCUUCCUCCAGAGCACCCCGACAGUCACCCCGCCCUCUGGUGUCCUCCCACCCCGAGCCCGAUCUUCCCCCUUCACGCCUGCCCCGGGCCAAUAGCCUCCUAACUGCGUCCUCUCUGAUUGCGUGUGUCGUGCUCAUUACGCCCUAUCCGUCGUUUCUUCGCUCCACAAACGUUUACUGAGCGCCUUCAACUUGCCAGGCACUAAUUAGACUAGCGCAGAGAAACGGGGAUAAGUACUGAUGAGGGUCCCAGCCCUCAGCGAUCGGAUUUCAGAGGGGGAGAUAAAGGACUGCCCAGAAGGGUGGUGAGUGGAGUAGUUGAUAUAAACAACGAGGUGCGAUGAAAUACACAGGAGGGCUGCUAAUCACAUAUGGGGUGGGUGCCGAGGGCCCUUAAUUAAGGGAGGCUUCCUGGACGGGUGACACCCAAGCGGAGUCCUGACGACCCGCGUCAGAAGUAGUCAGGCGAGGAGGAGGGUAAAGGAAUCCACGUCCCAAGCAGAGAAGCAGCUUUCCCUACACAGCACAGGACACGGUCCGCGCACAGAAGCCGCAGGAGACGCAGGCACAGGGGCUGGGGAGAAUCCUUGCUGGGCCCUCGCCGUCCAUGCGCCGCCUCCCUCUGCCCGGUGUCUGGUGUCAGCCUCCUGCCUGGCAGAGGAACUCCAGCCCCUGCUCCCCGAAGCUCCUCCAGGCCUUCUGCUUCCCUGACUCGGAAUGGGCCCGCUGUCCAGUGGGUACAAGGCUGGUCUCCCCGCCCACUGGUGACGACGUAAAGAUCCAGCUCAGCCUGGUUUCCCCUGGUGAUGAUAUCUUGCGACUCGUCUUUCUCCAGGAAAACAGGGACCGCUCUCCGCCUACAGGUCUCUUCCACAGACCUAUCUUGUUUUCACCCCCUGUCUCUUUUGGUUCAGUCUUUUCGCUCAUACAAACAAGGAAGUCGCCCCUAGCCCAGCCGCGGCUCCUUAGCUGGAGGCGGGCCCGGGGGUGGAGUCAACCGCGGUGGCCACGCCUCCUGGGAAAGGGCAGGGCAUGCAAAUUCGAAAUGAAAGCCCGGAAACCCCGGAACUAGAACUGGUAUGGAGUCUCACUCUGUCGCCCAGGCUGGAGUGUAGUAGCGCAAUCUUGGCUCACUGCAACCUCGGACUCCCAGGUUCAAGAGAUUCUCCUGCAUCAGCCUCCCAAGUAGCUGGGACUACAGGCACGUGCCACCACGCCCGGCUAAUUUUUGUAUUUUUAAUAGAGACGGGGUUUCUCCGUGUUAUCCAGAAUGGUCUCGAUCUCCUGACCUCGUGAUCCACCUGCCUCGGCCUCCUAAAGUGCUGGGAUUACAGGCGUGAGUCACCGCGCCCGGCACGCCCGGCUAAUUUUUUUGUAUUUUUAGUAGAGAUGGGGUUUCACCGUGUUCCCCAGGCUGGUCUCGAGCUCCUGAGUCGAGACGGGAUUUCUCCGUGUUUGCCAGAAUGGUCUUGAUCUCCUGACCUUGUGAUCCACCCGCCUCGGCCUCCCAAAGUGUUAGGAUUACUGGCGUGAGCCACUGCGCCCGGCAGAUUUUUCUUUUAAAACGUGGAGAAUAAGAAAUCAGCCCGAGUGUGUAAUGGCGUCAAUAUUGGUGUGGACAAGACAAAGUGAAUGAGAUCUCUUCAACUACCUGUGAAAACUGAUGUGAUGAAAAGGGGAAUUUGAAGGAGCCAUUCCAGAAGACAGGGCGAAAACUGAAGUGCAAUCAGGGCCAAGAAAAACAGAAAUAGCAGGACCUGGAGUUGCAUAGGUUGAAUAGUUGAAUAGGCUGCUCUCCUCAGCUGGCAGGAAACCUGGCAGCCUCCUGGUGCCCAAGGACUGAAAACCUUAGAAGCACCUGGAGUUGGCAGCCUUGGCAUGGUCAGGUUGGCACCUCUGGAGGUGCCCAGGCUUCCCUGGCAGCAUUGUGAGCAGUGGAUGGUGUUGAAGGGCAGCCAGAGGAGGAAUGGAACACAUGCUCCUUGCUAACCACACGGACAAGGCCACGUUCACAGGUACACAAAGGCAACGCAGUUGCUCAGGUGCUUCGGUAUCACAGCCAAGACCCCUUCGGGGGAAGCUAGUCGGAUACUGGGACCCACAUUCCAGACUACUGAGCCGCGGUCGCGCCCUCGGCUCCGUUUCUGCUCCCUCCACCCCACGAGGACGGGGGUGGAAGGCCACCUUCGAUGGGUGCAUCCUCCACGAUGACCUGCUAACAAAGGUGCAUGGAUUUCAGAGUCUGAUUGGCCUACAACAGCAUUUGGCUUGUGGAGACAGUGGUUCCCUGAUGAAAAACUGCCAUGAUGUAAGGAAGAGCCUGUCAGAGCGAGGCUGGGGUGCUGCGUGUUGGGGAGGUGGAGGUGUGGCUUCCCGGGAGAAGCUCCACCCGCUGGCUGAGUCUGGCACAUAAACCAGUCUGUGAGGGGAUGGAUGUGGGUGUAAUGGGGGCAAUUACAGUAGGAAGGAGCCCACGUGGAGCCUGCAUUCUCUGGGACAGGGCAUUACUGCAUUCUCUGGGACAGGCUAAGGCCCAGAUCCUACCUUCCCAGGUGGCUGGAUGGGUCAUAGAUGUAUGAACCGGUCCCCUCAUUUUCUGAUUGCCCUGUGCUUAACGUUUCUGUACCUUUACUGAGGCUCUUUCCUCCAACUCCAGUGCCCAGACCCCCCUUCUCCUGAACAUGAAUGCCUGUCCAUGGAAAUUCGAGUCUCUCUCUCUCACCCAGGCUGGAGUGCAGUGAUGCAAUCUCAACUCACUGCAACCUCUGCCUCCCAGGUUCAAGUGAUUCUUGUGCCUCAGCCUCUGGAGUAUCUAGGAUCACAGGUGCGUGCCACCAUGUCUGGCUAAUGUUUUGUAUUUAUAGUAGAGAUGGGUUUCGACAUAUUGGCCAGGCUGGUCUUGAUCUCCUGGCCUCAAAGUGAUCUACCCACCUGGGCCUCCCAAAUUGCUGGGAUUACAGUUGUGAGCCACCACACCCAGCCUGUCCCUGAAAUUCUAAUGAAAUGUGCGAUAAAGUUGUUUUGUUUUUCUUUUUGUUUUCCCUUCUUGGCAAAGCCUGGUGUUUCUAUUUUAGUGGAUUUGCCUGGCACUGAGGACUGCUAUGGUGGUCUUCAGAGGCUCCUGGUAUUGACUGCUUGUGAAACCGCUUUUGCAAAAUUAUGACUGAGACAGUGAAAGAGAUCUAACUUAACCGACCCAAUCUUGCUUCUAACCUCCAAAUUGUCCUUAUUCAUUCCUGAGCAUAGCCUGAACUAACUUUGGGAGAAGCUUAGUUUAUAUUUUAUUUUAUAGUUUAAAACAAAGAUGUUAACAGCCCUUUCCCAAGGCAGACUUCCUUCUUGCCUGGGGACUAGGUUGCCUUUGGAGGACUAACAUUAGCCACGAGAUUAGAAAUUAUGGGCUGGGCCUCGUGGCUCACCCCUGUAAUCCCAGCACUUUGGGAGGCCACGGCAGGUAGAUCACCUGAGGUCAGGAGUUCAAGACCAGCCUGGCCAACGUGGUGAAACCCCAUCUCUACUAAAGAAUACAAAAAUUAGCCGGUUAUGGUGGCACAUGCCUAUACUGCCAGCUACUUGGGAAGCUGAGGUGGGAGGAUCGCUUGAACCUGGGAGGCGGCGUGGAGGUUGCAGUGAGCCAGGAUCUUGCCACUGCACUCCAGCUUGGGCGACAGAGUGAGACUCUGUCUCAAAAAAAAAAAGUUUAGAAAUUAUGCUUUAGGAGUCAUGCAGCUGGAGGCUACAAGAUUCUGACCCUCCCUAAACUGCUCCUAAGAUCAGUGCUUGAGAUAUUUUGCAGACCCUGCACUUGAUGGAUCAGCUGGCACCACCCAGACUGAUUAACUGGCUCAUGUGAUCUUGUGGUCCCCACCCAGGAACUUAAUCAGCACAAGGAGACAGCUUCAACUCCCUAUGAUUUCAUCCCUGACCAAUCAGCACUCCUGGGCUCACUGGCUUCCCCCUACCCACCAAGUUGUCCUUAAAAAGUCUGCUCCCCAAAUGCUCGGGUAGACUGAUUUGGGUAAUAAUAAAACUCCGGUCUCCCACACAGCCAGCCCUGCGUGAAUUACUCUUUCUUUUUUGAGAUGGAGUUUCACUUUCGUUGCCCAGGCUGGAGUGCAAUGGCAGGAUCUUGGCUCACAGCAUCCUCCGCCUCUCAGGUUCAAGCGAUUCUCCUGCCUCAGCCUCCCCAAUAGCUGGGAUUAUAGGCACGUGCCACCACGCCCGGCUAAUUUUUGGUAUUUUUAGUACAGACAGGGUUUCACUGUGUUGGCCAGGUUGGUCUCAAACUCCUGACCUUAGGUGAUUCACCUGCCUUGGCCUCCCAAAGUGCUGGGAUUACAGGUGUGAGCCACUGCACCCAGCCAAAUUACUCUUUCUCUAUUGCAAUUCCCCUGUUCUGAUGAAUCAGCUCUGUUUAGGCAGCAGGCAAGGAGAACCCCCUGGGCAUUAUACUUGGACAGAGGUGACAUCCCCCAGGUAGUGAGUGCAAAGAACUAAUGCUGCAGCUGUCUUCCAUGUAUCUGCCACUCACUGUAGAAUGACCCUGAAGUUCUGCAUUUCUGCUCUGUGUGGGUCAGGCACAAGAAGCUUCAUCUCUUAUCCCGUGUCUGAUUCCUGAAACCUUGCUCAUUUUCCUGCUGUCCUCCCUAUUCCCAGCCUCCUUUCUUCUUUCGCUUUAUCCUCCACUAAGGACAUUGAUUGCUUUCCUUUCUCUGUUGGUUCUCCCCACCCCUCAUUCCAUUGUGCCUUGUACCCAUACUGCCCACUACCUCCCUUUAUUGCUGUCAUCUGUCCUGGUGGCCAGUCACACUCAUGCCAACACUUACUUAUUCCUUGAAGGUUUUAGCUCCUGGCUCACUUUCCAACAUAACUCCUGUCAUCAGUUGACACCCAGUUCCCCAGUUCCUUGACCUAGGCCUUACGUACCCCAGCCACUCACUUCCCUGGUCUAAGUCUAGAUCUUGUCAUUGCUGAUGCCAUAACGCCAUCCACCAUCCACUUCCAGGGUCACACUCUCCAAUCACCUUCUACCACCCCUCCCUCUGUUACUCUGUGGUACAUGUUACUCCACUUCCCCACUGCCCAUCCCCUUUCAUGUUUCUUUCCUCUUUAAUUCUUACACCUCUUUUUUUUUUUUUUUUUUUUUGAGAGAGUCUCAAUCUGUCACCCAGGCUGCAGUGCAGUGGCACAAUCCUCUCACUGCAACCUCCGCCUCUCAGAUUCAAGCGAUUCUCCUGCCUCAGCCUCCUGAGUAGCUGGGAUUAUAGGCAUGCACCACCAUGCCCGGCUAAUUUUUGUAUUUUUAGUAGAGACACAGUUUCACUAUGUUGGCCAGGCUGGUCUCAAACUCCUGACCUCAUGAUCCGCCCGCCUCGGCCUCCCAAAGUGCUGGGAUUAAGGCAUAAGCCACCGUGCCUGGCCUCUUGAAGACUCUUAAGUCAUUUUUGGGAAUCAAUGAAUUAACUACAGAAGAUUUCCCAGGAUGAUGAAAUAGCAAAUCAUUUCAAGAUGCAGAAGAAGUAAGACCGCUAAGAUCCCACAAUAUGUCUUGGAUUUUUGGAAAGAGAAAAGCAGAACCAGAAGUGGGUCUGGGAUUCACAGCCAGGCCAUACCCCAUGUCCUGGCUAAUAGGAUCGACUGCUGCUACUUUAGCCAAUUACGGCUUUGGCCUUCCUCUACUCUUCCCUCCUUCUUGGUGAAAUUUGUUAAGAUCCUCAAUCAUAGAAUUACCCCCACUUCCUGAGAGCAUCCCAGAGAAAGGACUCCUCAAACCACCUAACACAUGCCCAAAUCCUGUAAUAAACCAUCCCUGACACCCUCUUACUUAUUUGCCCCACAGUUCCCCGUGGCAUGCAAAACGUUCUCCCUCAAAGCUAACUCAUGUCAUGACAGGUGUGUUCCUGGUGGCCUUUGGCUGGAUGGUGCUGACAGGUUAUAAGAGGGCCUACCAAUAGAUCUAUAUGGUCAUUGCAAGACAUAAUGAGUUUUAUUCUGUUUAAAAAGGGAAGAAAACGGUAGAGCAUGGUGGCUCACGCAUGUAAUCCCAGCACUUUGAGAGGUAGAGGUGGGCAGAUCACUUGAUGUCAGGCGUUUGAGGCCAGUCUGGCCAACAUGGUGAAAUCCUGUCUCUACUGGAAAUGUUGCAGGAUUCAGGAGGACGAGAGAGACCUCAGGUUGAAACUAGAAUCUUUAUUGAGUGCACUCAGGCCCAGCUGACUCAACGUCCAAAAGACUGGGCCCGGAACAAAGACAGCAUCUGACUUUUAUACAUACUUCACAGAAGGUGGUGGGCUAGCUUGAAGCAAGCUUACAGUGGUGUGAAAAGCAGCAAUACAGAGGCAGGACAAAGACAGGAUUGCACAUGACUGUUGCCAAGUAACCCAGAUGUCCGUUAUCUAGGUUUGUCUGGGCAUGGGCUUAUCCUAUAACCUUCACUAUGGUGCCCAGGCAGCUGUAGUUCAGGCCUACUCAGGCUUCUCAUGACCUUCGUUGUACUUCUUAGAUAAAACAGAAUAUUUGAAGUCACUGGUUACAUGUAGGCGGAAACCUACCCAGGUGCUGAGGCAAGAGACUGAGGGCACAACCUGUUCCAAUAUAGUAAAGAAAAUAGUUAGAAUAAGAAAAGUUAUAUUAGAAGUAGGAAAUAGAGCUGGAUGCAGUGGCUCCCAGCACUUUGGGAGGCCAAGGUGGGCGGAUCACGAGGUCAGGAGAUUGAGACCAUCCUGGCUAACAGGGUGAAACCCUGUCUCUACUAAAAAUACAAAAACAAAAAAUUAGCUAGGCAUGGUGGCAGGCGCCUGUAGUCCCAGCUACUCAGGAGGCUGAGGCGAGAGAAUGGUAUGAAUCCAGGAGGUGGAGCUUGCAGUGAGCUGAGAUCACGCCACUGCACUCCAGCCUGGGCGACAGAGUGAAACUCCAUGUCAAAAAAAAAAAAAAAAAGAAAAAGAAAUAGGAUAUAGAGAUGAUUAUAUAUGGAUAUUAUCAAUCAUUAGUUUUUAGUAUUAAUCUCUGUAUUAUUAUUAUAACCGAGGAAAGACCAGCCAAUACAGAGUCAGGAGCUGAAGGGACAUUGUGAGAAGUGAGCAGAAGAUAAGAGUGAAAGUCCUCUAUCACAUCCUGAUAAAGGCCGCUUGAGGACACCUUGGUCUAGCGGUAGCGCCAGUGCCUGGGAAGGCACCCGUUACUUAGCGGACCGGGAAAGGGAGUUUCCCUUUCCUUGGGGGAAGUUAGAGAACACUCUGCUCCACCAGCUCUAGUGGGAGGUCUGACAUUAUCCAGCCCUGCUCGCAGUCAUCUGGAGGACUAAACCCCUCCCUGUGGUGCUGUGCUUCAGUGGCCACGCUCCUUUCCACUUUCAUGUUCUGCCUGUACACCUGGUUCCUCUUUUAAGUUCCUAGAAGAUAGCAGUAGCAGAAUUAGUGAAAGUAUUAAAGUCUUUGAUCUCUCUGAUAAGUGCAUAGAAAAAAUGCUGACAUAUGUGGUCCUCUCUCUGCUUCUGCUACCACAAAGAAGACCCCCAUGUGAUUUGCUUGACCUUAUCAAUCACUUGGGAUGACUCACUCUCCUUACCCUGCCCCCUUGCCUUGUAUACAAUAAAUAGCAGCACCUUCAGGCAUUCGGGGCCACUACUGGACUCCGUGCAUUGAUGGUAGUGGCCCCCUGGGCCCAGCUGUCUUUCCUACUAUCUCUUAGUCUCGUGUCAUAUUUUUCUACCGUCUCUCGUCUCUGCACACGAAGAGAACAACCCGCAAGGCCCAGUAGGGCUGGACCCUACAGUUACAGAGAACAGGAAUCUAUAAACUCAUUCCAUAAAACAAAGGAAAAUUUGUUUUUCUUCUCCUUAUGUUGAGGGAUUGCUGAGAGAGUCUCCAGAGCACAUUAGAUAAUAUUAUCAAGACUUUUCCUGGGUCUGGGCUGUGCCCGUUGCUGCCUCUGGGACAAGUCGGCCUAAUACAUGAAAAUUUAUUUCUCUUUCUUUUUAAUUUUAUUUUUCUUUAAUUUCCCACCUUAAAACCACAAAAAUUAGCCGGGCAUGGUGGUGCAUGCCUGUAAACCCAGCCACUUGGGAGGCUGAGGUGGGAGAAUCUCUUGAAACCUGGAGGCAGAGGCCGCAGUGAGUCAAGAUCGUGCCACUGCAUUUCAGCCUGAGCAACAGAGUGAGACUCCAUCUCAAAAAAAAAAAAGCGGGGGGGAGGAGAGGGGGGGAAGAAAGAAACUUAUUUAUUUCAUUGGAAGACCUGUAAAAGAACAAAGGUCAUGAAAUAUCAGUAUGUACAUCUAGAAUUGCUCCAAAAAGAAACGGAAAUGAAUGGGGGCUCGGGGUGGGAAGAAGAAUGGAUUAGUCAGCUAUAACUUUGGGUCCAAGGGACCCUGGUGGUAUAGUGGGGGUUAACUUUGCAAUCACUGACUCAGGUGAGCCUCUUAGUGUUGAGAAGUGAAAUCAUCCUGUUUCCCUAAUGUAUAGAUCUUACAUUUUCCAG